RNAcentral lists this ribosomal RNA (372 nucleotides) under uncultured bacterium. RNAcentral's name for it is "bacterial SSU rRNA". It matches the Rfam family "Bacterial small subunit ribosomal RNA", at positions 125 to 507 of the family's 1533-position model. The record is from RNAcentral.
CCUGCCUUUCAGUGGGGGACAACAGUUGGAAACGACUGCUAAUACCGCAUAAUGUUAUUUAGGGGGCAUCCCUGAAUAACCAAAGCUUUAUGUGCUGAAAGAUGGUCUCGCGUCUGAUUAGCUAGAUGGCGGGGGUUAACGGCCCACCAUGGCGACGAUCAGUAGCCGGGUCUCGAGAGGAUGAACGGCCACAUUGGGACUGAGAUACGGCCCAGACUCCUACGGGAGGCAGCAGUGGGGAAUAUUGGGCAAUGGGGGAAACCCUGACCCAGCAACGCCGCGUGAAGGAAGAAGGCCUUCGGGUUGUAAACUUCUUUUAGCAGGGACGAAUACGUGACGGUACCUGCAGAAAAAGCAACGGCUAACUACGUG